GACGAACGCUGGCGGCGUGCUUAACACAUGCAAGUCGAACGGUGAAGCUCCAGCUUGCUGGAGUGGAUCAGUGGCGAACGGGUGAGUAACACGUGAGCAACCUGCCCCUGACUCUGGAAUAAGCGCUGGAAACGGCGUCUAAUACUGGAUACGAGAAGGGUCCGCAUGGGCACUUUCUGGAAAGUUUUUCGGUUGGGGAUGGGCUCGCGGCCUAUCAGCUUGUUGGUGAGGUAAUGGCUCACCAAGGCGACGACGGGUAGCCGGCCUGAGAGGGCGACCGGCCACACUGGGACUGAGACACGGCCCAGACUCCUACGGGAGGCAGCAGUGGGGAAUAUUGCACAAUGGGCGAAAGACUGAUGCAGCGACGCCGCGUGAGGGAUGACGGCCUUCGGGUUGUAAACCUCUUUCAGCAGGGAAGAAGCGAAAGUGACGGUACCUGCAGAAGAAGCACCGGCUAACUACGU
This 467-nucleotide ribosomal RNA is filed under the name uncultured bacterium. RNAcentral's name for it is "partial 16S ribosomal RNA". It matches the Rfam family "Bacterial small subunit ribosomal RNA", at positions 28 to 506 of the family's 1533-position model. The record is from RNAcentral.